AACGAACGCUGGCGGCGUGCUUAACACAUGCAAGUCGAACGUGAUUGAGAGCUUGCUCUCAUGAAAGUGGCGCACGGGUGAGUAACACGUGGAUAAUCUGCCUGGCGAUUCGGGAUAACACUUCGAAAGGGGUGCUAAUACCGGAUAAGCCCACGGUCUCUUCGGAGAGCGCGGGAAAAGGGGGCCUCUGUAUAUGCUCCUGUCGCGAGAUGAGUCCGCGGCCCAUUAGCUAGUUGGUAGGGUAAUGGCCUACCAAGGCUACGAUGGGUAGCUGGUCUGAGAGGAUGAUCAGCCACACUGGAACUGAGACACGGUCCAGACUCCUACGGGUGGCUG
RNAcentral lists this ribosomal RNA (336 nucleotides) under uncultured Pseudomonadota bacterium. RNAcentral's name for it is "bacterial SSU rRNA". It matches the Rfam family "Bacterial small subunit ribosomal RNA", at positions 29 to 351 of the family's 1533-position model. Lineage: Bacteria; Pseudomonadati; Pseudomonadota. The record is from RNAcentral.